RNAcentral lists this ribosomal RNA (253 nucleotides) under uncultured bacterium. RNAcentral describes it as "partial 16S ribosomal RNA". It matches the Rfam family "Bacterial small subunit ribosomal RNA", at positions 524 to 776 of the family's 1533-position model. The record is from RNAcentral.
UACGUAGGGGGCAAGCGUUAUCCGGAAUUACUGGGCGUAAAGCGCACGCAGGCGGUUCGCCAAGUUUGGAGUGACAGUUGUCGGCUCAACCGACAAAGGACUUCAAAAACUGGUGAACUUGAGGACGAGAGAGGAACAUGGAACUCCAGGUGUAGUAGUGAAAUGCGUAGAUAUCUGGAAGAACACCAAUGGCGAAGGCAAUGUUCUGGCUCGUUUCUGACGCUCAGGUGCGAAAGCCAGGGGAGCGAACAGG